Schistosoma haematobium is the source of this 45-nucleotide non-coding RNA. The record is from Rfam. Lineage: Eukaryota; Metazoa; Platyhelminthes; Trematoda; Strigeidida; Schistosomatidae.
AUCCAGCCGAUUAGUCCCGAAUAGGACGAAACGCGCAUCCUGUAU